UAGGGUUCUUGGCUUGGCUAUGGUCGUGACCGGCGUGCGGGCGUGCGGAUUGUGCGUGCAUGCGUGCGCCAUGGCGAGGCAGCGCCAGCGCCAGCGCCAGGGCAGGGAUUUCCUCGGCGAGAGGGGAAAAUUCCCUCUUUCUCCUCUCUCUCUCUUUUCUCUCCUCUCUCUCUCUCUCUCUCCCUCUCUCUCUCUCUCCCCUUUCUCUCGCUGGCUGUGCUUGCUGCGGGGGACAGAUUUCCAGGGAGCGCAUUCAUUGAUUUCCAUGUCGUAGUAGUAUGCGCGUGUGUGUGCGUGCUGGGCAGGAGCUAAGAUGUAUAGGCGAGAGAGAGGGAGCUCCAGGCCUCCCAGGAGAGGCUACAACUGCUUUUUCUCCUUGAUCUCUGUGUGCUUGUCGCAAAUCCAUGGCCAGGGAGGAGGAAAUCCCAAAUUCACACCCAAUUCUUCUAAUCCCAGAGCCGGUCCAGCCAGGGGCUGAUUCAAAUCCGCCUCUCUUUGAUUUUCUCUCCUUUAUUUUUUUUCUCUCCUGUGGACUGCCAAGGAAGAGCUAGCCCUGUCUCUAGCAAAGCUGCAGUGGUGUGAGUCGCAGCAGCUAUUUAAACGUGCGCUGCUCGUUCUCGUUUCUUUGACGAUUGUCACUUCCGUUUCAUUCCUCUUGCGUGGUUCUCGUCCGUUCUCGUGCUUGCGAUUUUGGUGUGAGCUUGCAUUGCAUCAUCCUCUUCGUUCGUCCUAGUGAUUCGAGUUUCCUACACGCUCUCUCUUUUCGUCAGGAAGGAGUGUGUGAGACCCAAGAGCUCGCAGCUCGUGAUCUUCGCUUUGUCGCGAACAAUUUAAAGUUUGUGAGAUGUCACGGCUCUCGAGCAAGUCCGACUACUCUAGAUAUCUAGGAGAGAACCGAAGAAUCACUGCCAAGUUUACUCAUUUCAAAGAAUCCUCUCAUGCUUUUCCACGGCUUUCUUGAACCUGGUGCUCUUCCAAGGCAGGAGGAUCAGAAAACGUUGUGGUAUUUCUCAUCUCCUCGUCUCGUCCUUGGUCUCCCCUUGAAAGAAACUCACCAGUAAGAGUACGAAGUUCAAGAAAGCUGUGGGAAACAAUGGCCGGAUUCAGAAGCUUGUGAAUCAUUUCGACGCUAUAGCCGUGAUCUCUACUCCAUUUUUUUGUGUGCAUCUUUAGCUCGUGAUCAUUGAAUCGUCAUACUAAUCCCACUUGUGGUCUUGCUGUGAUUGCAGCCAGCGAGAGCAAAGCUUCCAAGUCCCGCGAUUCAACUUGGAGCAAGGAACUCGCAAAAGCUCUCGAGAUCUUCUGACGAUCACCGACGAGAGAGAAGUGUCACCUUGGCCAGGUAGAAUUCGACAUCGCCACUACAACUAUACGUGUACUUGUAGGUAUUUUCUCGCUUGCACUAGUUACUAGACUAACAAAAGCUGCUCGCUCGAUUCGUAUGUCGUUUUCACGCUUGGAGUGGGCUGCGCGAUGGUUAACUUGUGUAGACUGAUAGAUAUAUGGCUUUGCUUUCCUUUCCCGUGCUCGCUCCGCCAAAAGGAUGGAUUUUCGCAGGCACCGUCUGCCGGAACAAAGACUGGAGCCCGGUCUGAGCGAUGGAGCGUACAGUAAUCAGUGCUCGCGUCUCCAAAUCAUCAGGUAUCUAAGUUUGCGUUUACACUCUCCUUGUAUUCUCGGACGAAAACUUCUCGUCGUGUUUCUAACUUUUUUCGUGGUCUUUGGGAAGGCCAGACGUUCUUAAGUUGGGAUCCAGGACACUUGCUGGUGGCACUGAUGCUUUUAGUGCGCACCGUUUUGGAAGAGAAAGGAGAGAUCCCUCUGCGAGGCGCUAGUACCGCGUACAGUGAGGUUUGUGGAGACUUCUUUUCUUUUCUAGAGGGCGAGAGACUCGGAGAGAAAUCAUGAAGCAUGACGCUGGCUACGAAUGAUGACGACGCUGCUGGUAUUAGUUCUCUUUUUUUUUUCUACUGAGCUCGCAGUGGCACAGUUUGAUCGAUCAAAAAGCAGGCUUUUGUGAAGUUUUCGUGAGUAGAGCUCACGCAAAUCUGUAAAACUAUGUAACAUGGAGAGCUUUUGUGAAGUAGAGCUCACGCAAAUCUACGUUCUGGGCUGAAAAAACUCAAGAACUUCGUAGAUCAUCAUGUUAAACAGAGAUAAAUCGAAAGUCCUCUUUGAUUCAAUCGAAAAAA
Selaginella moellendorffii is the source of this 2192-nucleotide long non-coding RNA. RefSeq lists it as uncharacterized. NCBI's taxonomy places the organism in Eukaryota, Viridiplantae, Streptophyta, Lycopodiopsida, Selaginellales, Selaginellaceae. The transcript has 2 exons. The record is from RefSeq and is a predicted model, not a curated record.